This 207-nucleotide microRNA precursor is filed under the name Oryza rufipogon (brownbeard rice). RNAcentral describes it as "MIR812 microRNA precursor family". It matches the Rfam family "MIR812 microRNA precursor family". The record is from Rfam by way of RNAcentral. Lineage: Eukaryota; Viridiplantae; Streptophyta; Magnoliopsida; Poales; Poaceae.
AAAAAGACAAACCCUGGUUUCCGUGCCCAACGUUUGACCGUCCGUCUUAUUUGAAAAAAUUAUGAAAAAAAAUUAAAAAGACAAGUCACGCACAAAGUAUUAAUCAUGUUUUAUCAUCUAACAACAAUAAAAAUACGAAUUAUAAAAAAAAUUUCAUAUAAGACGGACAGUCAAAGUUGGACACGGAAACCCAGGGUUUGUUUUUUU